RNAcentral lists this ribosomal RNA (61 nucleotides) under Paraphysomonas bandaiensis. Its description in RNAcentral is "partial 5.8S ribosomal RNA". The record is from RNAcentral. Lineage: Eukaryota; Chrysophyceae; Chromulinales; Paraphysomonadaceae.
CUUCUCGGGAUGAUGUGCGGGAACAGAGAGCACAGUUUUUCCGGUCCUUUGAGAAAAUUGG